Molecule: non-coding RNA, 208 nt
Organism: Pelobates cultripes (western spadefoot toad)
Lineage: Eukaryota; Metazoa; Chordata; Amphibia; Anura; Pelobatidae
Source: the annotation of a GenBank genome assembly
UAUUGUAACGUGAAUAUACCCCAACACGCAGGAUUCAGCUAAACAGAAGACAACACAGAGGAGAGAUACGUCUACCGGACCUUAGAAUGGCCGGACUUGACGUAUAUGAGAGGAGGCAGAGUCAGGAACGAUCCGAAGUCAAGGGCACAGAGAGACAGCGUAAACUAGGACAAGCCGGGGUCUGGUACACAGUAAACAGCAAGCCGAC